AGGCGCUGAGUGCAGAGUGAGGCCGGGUGCGGGCUGCGCCUUCUGAGAGGGAGGCGGUCCGCACAUUUCCGAGCAGAGGCGCGUGGGCCUCUGAAGGGUCCCUCGGGCUGCGGUGUGGAGUGUGGACUGCAGGAGGCUGGGAUGCUGAAUCACUUAGGAUGCAUUCAGAGGCGAACAACUCGCUUGCCAGCUAGCAGCAGCUUGCACGAUGCCAUUGUGAUCUCACUGAAUACGAAGCCACCGUCUCUCCUCCCUCCAAAAUCCCCACAUACACUUUCUGCCUUCCUGCCUGUUGCCUCAUGGCCCAGGGUGGCUGUCAUAGCACAGGGCAUCACACCGUUACACCGCCAUCUCAAACGGGAAGGAAGUGGCAGGUGUACAAAGGAUGACCACUUUGUGAAUCAGGUUACGAUUUUCUUUCCUAACAAAGGAAAAGCUUCUCAGAGGCUCCUCCUGCAAGUGUCUCUUUAACCCCGUUAGGCCGCCCUGGGCCAUGUGGCCAGCCCUGACUUUAAGAGGGUGGGAAAGUGAACAUGUGUCAAAGUGGACCAGAAUGGCCAGCACCCACUAGGCGGGCACAUAGUUGCCCCAAACAAAAUCAGGGUUCGCUUAGCUGGGAAGCAGGUGCUAAGGCUUUCGGGGAGGCUGCCAACUGGCCUGUCACAGAGAAAAAUCAGAGCCCAGGGAGGGGUUUUGACAGCAGCACGGAGAGAGAUGAUGUGGUUUGAACAUGGGGGCCAUGAGCAGUGCCUCUUUCUCUUAGAGAGGGUGCGUCCAGUGUAAAUGUGAAGGAGAGAUAGAAACCCAGGCUCUUCAUUUUUGGUCUGAGUGACUGUGUCCAGGAGGAUGCCUUUUGCAAAGAUGGGGAAGACAGAGGGAAGAGCUUGUUAGUCACAGGGUGGAAAUUAAGAAUUGCCUACUGGGGACAGAAGUGGAGAUGCUAUGCAGGGUGGAGUAUCUCGAGGGAUGCCGAGACGAGAGGCCACUGCCGCAGCCCUGCGCCUGGAGGCUGGGCUCACCACAUCCUCUCUGCCCUUCCCUCCGUGCUGCGUGACACUGGAGCUGGCCUUUGAAAGCCACAUCAGCCUGUUCCUUGACCUGUGGUUUCUGGUUAUGCUAAGCCAACAGGAGCACCAAAGGCCCUGGAGGGAAGGAAAGAGCAAGGCGAAGGUGUUUACUAUUCCCCUGACUUCCUCCUGCCAGGUCACUGAGGGUUGGCUGUGCGCCUCAACUGAAGCUCCGGCCCUGUCAGGCACCCACCACUCUCCUUUCUCUCUCUCCGGUUCCAGUUCCUGCCUCCUCCCCUUGUUCUUGCCAGCGGGGGGUGGCAUCACGCGGGCGUGGUGAAUCCUGGCCCUUGGGACUUCCCUGCGCCUUGCACAGAUCGCGCAGAUUGUGGUAGAUGGUCCCUUGCAAGUGUCAUCCUGCCUGAUGCAUCACCACCGAGGAAGUGACCGAAGUCAGAGACAGAGGACGCCGUCACUCCCCAAGAAUGAAGUCGGUAGGGGAUAUUAUUGGACUUCGUAUGCGAUGGCAAUGACUCAACAGAAAGAAAAAUUGCUGAUGCAAGAAAAAGAGCGUCUUGCCUCCUCCAGGCAAGAGGGCACCAGACUUGGGACAGCUCACUCGAGGCAGGGAAAGAAAAGCAGUUCGCACGAUUGCAGGCACAGGGCUCUGUGGAAGACGCAGAGGACCCCAGCAUCCCAGCACGGUGCAGCCCCUCCUGGACCUCCGCAUCUCAGAGGCCACCACUGUCCGGAAUUUUGUGUUCACCAUUCCCUUUCUCUCUGUACAUCUAUGUGCAAUUUAUUGUGCAGUUGUACAUGCUUUUGAAAUUCGUUUCUUUUAAAAAAAAAAAAAAGCAGUCUCGAUCUGUCGCCCAUGCUGGAGUGCAGUGGUGUCAUCUCAGCUUACUACAACCUCUACCUCCUGGGUGUGAGCAAUUCUCGUGCCUCAGUCUCUGAGUAGCUGGGACUACAGGAGUGCGCCACCACAACUGGCUAAUUUUUCGUAUUUUCGUAGGAGACAGGGUUUUACCAUGUUGUCCAGGCUGGUCUCAAACUCCUGAGCUUAGGCAAUCCGCCCGCCUGGGCUUCCCAAAGUGCUGGGAUUACAGGUGUGACCCAAUGCGCCCAGCCCCAUGCUUUUGAAAUUCACACAAGAGCGCUGAGCUGUCGUCCUCUGGUGCUGCAGUGUACCCGGGUUGUCGUGUGUAGCUGUGAAUCACUUGUUUUCACCACAUGUAUUAGUCUGUCGUGUGACAAUUUAUUGAUCCAUUCUACUUUGAUGGAGAUUUGUGCUGCUGUCCAAUUCCUGCUAUUUCAAUUCUCCAGUGAACAUUUAAUGUCGUUCUCCUGGUGCUUGGACAAGAGCCUGCAGGUCUAACCCGAGGAGAGAAAUUGCUGGGCCAUGGGACGUGCCUCUUGACCUCACUGGAUGCUGCUAAAUUAGGGCCCAAAGUGCAGUGACGACCAUCCCGCAGCACCACACAGACCCUGGCUUGCUUGGCAUUCUCUCCGACACUCUAGUGUUAUCAGCCUUCAUGUUGUUGUCAGUCUGGUAGGCAUUCCAGGUCCCUCACUCUGUUUUAAUCUGCGUUUUCCUGCUCACUAAUGGAGCAGGGCAUUUUCUCACAUUCCUUGCCCAUUCACGUCUUCCCCUUUGCCAAAACGCCUGUUCAAAUCUUCCACCCACUUUUCAACUGGAUUCUGUCUCUCCUUCUGAUUGACUUGUCGAAGUCCUUACAUGUUCUGGGCACAAACCCUCCAUCAGAUGUGUGUAGUUGCAGUAUCUUCUCUCACUCUGUGAUUUGUCUCUUGCUUAUUUCGUGAUUCUUUUGAUAUGUAGAAGUUCCUCGUUAUACUGUAACUGAAAUAUAUCCAGCUUUUCCCAAUGUUUUGUGCUUUUUGAAUCCUAGGAAAUUCUUCCUUUGUUCAUUGUUGUGAGAGAUUCUUUGGGAGAUUUGAGAAUAGAUUCUCCUAUAUUCUCUUCUAAAAUUUGUGCAGUUUUGCUUUUUCUAUUUUAAACCACUUGCAAAUGAUUUUUCUGUAUGAUGUGAGGCAGGCGCCAUUUUCAUCAUCUUAAUAUAAUUAAAUUGUCAUGACACCAUUCACAGAAGGGCCCCAACUGUCUGCUGUCUGCUCUGCUCAGACGAACCCUUCACCUGCUCUGGGCCAGUACUCCCUGCAUUGAUUACAAAAGUCUUAUUAAAAGGUUAAUGCCUCUACCUGGGUUCUUCUU
Molecule: long non-coding RNA, 3240 nt
Organism: Symphalangus syndactylus (siamang)
Lineage: Eukaryota; Metazoa; Chordata; Mammalia; Primates; Hylobatidae
Source: RefSeq, a predicted model, not a curated record